This 377-nucleotide ribosomal RNA is filed under the name uncultured bacterium. Its description in RNAcentral is "bacterial SSU rRNA". It matches the Rfam family "Bacterial small subunit ribosomal RNA", at positions 521 to 896 of the family's 1533-position model. The record is from RNAcentral.
UAAUACGGAGGGGGCCAGCGUUGUUCGGAAUCAUUGGGCGUAAAGGGCGCGUAGGCGGCCGAUCAAGUCCGACGUGAAAUUCCUCGGCUCAACCGAGGGCCUGCGUCGGAUACUGCUCGGCUUGAGUCCCGGAGAGGGUAGUGGAAUUCCCAGUGUAGCGGUGAAAUGCGUAGAUACUGGGAGGAACACCGGUGGCGAAGGCGGCUACCUGGACGGGUACUGACGCUGAGGCGCGAAAGCUAGGGGAGCAAACAGGAUUAGAUACCCUGGUAGUCCUAGCUGUAAACGAUGGGCACUUGGUGUUGCGGGUAUCGACCCCUGCAGUGCCGAAGCUAACGCAUUAAGUGCCCCGCCUGGGGAGUACGGUCGCAAGGCUG